Papaver somniferum (opium poppy) is the source of this 1895-nucleotide long non-coding RNA. RefSeq lists it as uncharacterized. The transcript has 2 exons. Lineage: Eukaryota; Viridiplantae; Streptophyta; Magnoliopsida; Ranunculales; Papaveraceae. The record is from RefSeq and is a predicted model, not a curated record.
UUUUGUAUUAACAAUCCAAUUACAACAAUGUGGAGUUUUUUGAUUAAUGUAUAUGUAUCUUUUUUAACAGUUGGUGUCCUAUUUAUCUUGGGGUUAUUAUUAUAUCCAAUUUGUUUGUCCAAAUAUAUAUUGCAUGUUCACAACAUUGUAAGUGUAUAUAUCAGAAUAUGGAAGGAUCUCAACCGGUACCUAGCAUGGAGGAUAGUGGAAAGGGAAGCAGUAAAACCCGAUGGUUACUUGAUAUGGAUAAUGUGUGUAUUCGCACAUUGCUAGAUCAACUUUCUCUAGGUAACAAAGGUGACAAUGGUUGGAAAUCAGCUGCCUUCACCAAAGUACGAGAACAUAUGAAAGACUUGUUAGGCAUAACAAUUUCUAACGAGAGUGUGAAAGAUCGUCUUAGAACAUGGAGGAAAUACUACAUAGAUUUUAGGCAUCUUGAUGAUCAAAGUCGAUUGGGAUACGAUCCUCCGUCUCAAACAGUUUAGGCUCCCGACUCAGUUUGGGCAGAGUAUAUUUCGCAUCAUCCCAAGUACGCUAAGUAUCGAGGGAAGAAAAUAGAAUACUUUGAUGAGAUUGCAAUGACUGUUGGCAGUGAUACGACGAAUGGGUAAGAAGCACAAACAGUUGCAGUUGCUGAAAAUGUUGCUGAAAAUAAUGUUAAUACACCAAACACAGAACCCCUUGGUGGUGAGUUUAUGGGUGCUGCUGACACGACACAAAAUGAAAACACGGCAGAGAAUCAAAGCAGUCCAGCUUCAGAUCCCUCCCCGUCUACUUCCAAAACGAAUAACUUGUUGAAGAGGAAGAGAAGAAAUAGAGAUAAAGCGGUAAGUAAAGAAGAAUCAAUGAGUCAGAUGGCAGCUGGAAUUACUAAUAUCGCGAACCACAUGAUGGAAAGAGAUAAAAAUCCUGACAUGGUUAGUUUAUUUUCCAAAUUACGGGAACUUCCACGUAUUAGUUCAAGUAUACGGUGAAGCUUGUCGAGUUUCUUGUGAAUGAUGCCACGAAAGCAAAUAUGUUUUUAUGAUGAAUGAAACUGAGCAGUUAGAAUGGUGUGAUAUUCGGUUUGGUUUAGAAGAAAUAGCCGGUCGUAUUUUUUGAGAUGGUGGAGUAAGUAUAUAUGUAAUAUGUUUUUCUGUUUUUAGGCGACCGGUAAAGCAUGGAUGCUGCGAAUAUGGUAUGUUUCUGUCUUAAUUAUUAGUAAAUUAUUCUAUACACAUUCACACUUUAACUGAUAACUUAUAAUUCUUCCCCUUUUAUCACGAAUCUUAACUUACAGAUAAUCAUUUUACUAGGCUGUAAUGUCAGUGGGGACACGUUUUGUUGAUAUGGUGCUCACUGGAGCAAUUAUGCUGAUUAGUUGCAGAAAUGGCAACACACUUUUUGGAGAAGUUUUCACUUACUUCUUUACAUAUAUAUAUAUACACUUAGUAUAGAUAGAUAGAUGGCGGUUUUUUCCUAUAUAUUUAACGUAAGACCUACUGAAAUCAACAAUGUGUCUGUUUUGAUACUAAAUUUUGUAAGAAUGUUUUCGUCUUGCGACUUCUUAUAGUUAUAUAAUGCUUGCAGGUGACAACAUAAAUUCUGAUGGUGGGAAAUUAUGGAGACUAGGGGAUACAAGAUGGUUCUGGAGGAUCAAAAAACGCGUCCUGUGGUCAUUAAGUUUUUGCUUAGUAGUUGUAAAUGAUAGGUAUUUUUCUAUAUUUUGGAACUGUUGUCAUGUGGGUGGAUUAACUUGAUGGUGCACGAAGGUGAAGACUUUGAACAUGGAAGUAUUACUUUUUCCCCUACACUUUUGUACAAGGAGUUGGAACUCACACACUUUUAUGUAUCUAUUUGAUCUUUAGGUAAUAUAUUUGGAUUAUUAAAAAACAAAGUCAUUUGGUUUUUUUUCU